Long non-coding RNA from Haliotis rubra (blacklip abalone), 700 nucleotides. RefSeq lists it as uncharacterized. NCBI's taxonomy places the organism in Eukaryota, Metazoa, Mollusca, Gastropoda, Lepetellida, Haliotidae. The transcript has 2 exons. The record is from RefSeq and is a predicted model, not a curated record.
AACAAUUUGGAAUAUAUUUAUCCAACACCACAUAAGGUCAUAAGGUCAAGAGCAAUGUCACCCUGAAGACCAGGGUAAGACAAGCACAGCACAGGACAGCACAACACAUUCUAUUAUCACUCUGCCUAAGGUUUGAACCCUUGGAAGUAAAGUUUGUACAUGUAUUAAGGUUUUAUUUAUGAAAAAAGCAAUAUCACCCUGGCAACCACAGUAAGACAAACAGCAUAAAUGUUCACUCUGCCCAAGGAUUGAAUCCUUAUAAAUAAAGUUGUUUGAAAGUUUUAUUUAUAAAUAGAGCAAUAUCACCCUGGCGACUACAGGAACAGAAACAUGGCACAGUUAAGUACAUUCUAUUGUCAGCCCAAAAGGUUCACUCAGCCCAAGGACUGAAUCCUUAUGAAUAAAUUUCUUAUUAAAGUUUAAUUUGUAGAAAAAAGAGGUUGCGGAAAAGAGUUAUAUCAGCCUGGCAACCACAGUAAGACACUGAAUCACAGAAAAAUGUUGUGUGUUUUUUUUUGUUUUUUUUGUUUUUGUAUAUUCCAUUUCAAUUCUCAGAUCAAUUACAUAUGACAUAAAUAGACAAUAUAUAUGACACCAUUGGGGAAUGAAAAAAUAGUUGUAAAUUGAGGUUAUAACAGAUAUAUAGAUACAUAAAAUAUCGUUAAAUUUUCUGUAGAGGGUAAAUAAGAAUGAAGGAAUA